AUUGAACGCUGGCGGCAGGCCUAACACAUGCAAGUCGAGCGGAUGAAGGGAGCUUGCUCCUGGAUUCAGCGGCGGACGGGUGAGUAAUGCCUAGGAAUCUGCCUGGUAGUGGGGGAUAACGUCCGGAAACGGGCGCUAAUACCGCAUACGUCCUGAGGGAGAAAGUGGGGGAUCUUCGGACCUCACGCUAUCAGAUGAGCCUAGGUCGGAUUAGCUAGUUGGUGGGGUAAAGGCCUACCAAGGCGACGAUCCGUAACUGGUCUGAGAGGAUGAUCAGUCACACUGGAACUGAGACACGGUCCAGACUCCUACGGGAGGCAGCAGUGGGGAAUAGUAGACAAUGGGCGAAAGCCUGGUCCAGCCAGGCCGCGUGUGUGAAGAAGGUCUUCGGAUUGUAAAGCACGUUAAGUUGGGAGGAAGGGCAGUAAGUUAAUACCUUGCGGUUGUGACGUUACCAACAGAAUAAGCACCGGCUAACUUCGUG
Molecule: ribosomal RNA, 484 nt
Filed under: uncultured bacterium
Lineage: Bacteria
Description: partial 16S ribosomal RNA
Rfam family: Bacterial small subunit ribosomal RNA
Source: RNAcentral